CGAUAGUGUUUUGAGCUCGUAGAUGCUGUCGGAUUUGAAUAGGAGUUUUGUGAGAAACGAGCUCGAUUUUAUUUUGCCCAAAGUGAUUGCGGUGCUGGCCAGGAUUCAAGAGCAGCGGAUCUUGAUGAAGAGGUAAGGGGUCAUGUUCCUGUAAUCCAGAUCGUAAUCAAGUCCAGGAUGUCACCUGUUUGACGCUAUAUGCAUUAGAUCCUAUCGAUUACAUCUUCAUGCACCAUCGAUGAUUUUAUGAGUAGAGAGGAUAUGUUGGGUUUAAUUUUAUGUCACUGGUUAAUGGAAAUUCUACAUGUAAUAUAAACUUUAAGAAGAGUUGAAAUAAAAUAAUGAUGAAUGAUGUUAAGUUCAUCCCCAUAGUUCAUUUUAGAAAAUUAAGGUGAUUAGUAAAUAGGGUUGGGAAUCGGACAGGGUUUGACAACGUUUUUACCCGACCUGAUCCGUCAAACCGAGUUUUGAGUACCCGGAAACCCGUCAACACAAAUUAAAGACCAGGGUUGGG
Molecule: long non-coding RNA, 514 nt
Filed under: Linum usitatissimum (flax)
Lineage: Eukaryota; Viridiplantae; Streptophyta; Magnoliopsida; Malpighiales; Linaceae
Description: long non-coding RNA (LUSI_LNC008333)
Source: RNAcentral